CCAGAAGUACUUGGCACGUUUGGUGGC
This 27-nucleotide small RNA is filed under the name Bombyx mori (domestic silkworm). RNAcentral's name for it is "ovarian small RNA-2581". Lineage: Eukaryota; Metazoa; Arthropoda; Insecta; Lepidoptera; Bombycidae. The record is from RNAcentral.